AGUGAACGCUGGCGGUAGGCCUAACACAUGCAAGUCGAACGGCAGCACAGUAAGAGCUUGCUCUUACGGGUGGCGAGUGGCGGACGGGUGAGGAAUACAUCGGAAUCUACUUUUUCGUGGGGGAUAACGUAGGGAAACUUACGCUAAUACCGCAUACGACCUACGGGUGAAAGCAGGGGAUCUUCGGACCUUGCGCGAUUGAAUGGGCCGAUGUCGGAUUAGCUAGUUGGCGAGGUAAAGGCCCACCAAGGCGACGAUCCGUAGCUGGUCUGAGAGGAUGAUCAGCCACACUGGAACUGAGACACGGUCCAGACUCCUACGGGAGGCAGCAGUGGGGAAUAUUGGACAAUGGGCGCAAGCCUGAUCCAGCCAUACCGCGUGGGUGAAGAAGGCCUUCGGGUUGUAAAGCCCUUUUGUUGGGAAAGAAAAGCAGCAGGUUAAUACCCCGCUGUUCUGACGGUACCCAAAGAAUAAGCACCGGCUAACUUCGUG
RNAcentral lists this ribosomal RNA (492 nucleotides) under uncultured bacterium. RNAcentral describes it as "partial 16S ribosomal RNA". It matches the Rfam family "Bacterial small subunit ribosomal RNA", at positions 29 to 507 of the family's 1533-position model. The record is from RNAcentral.